AGUCACUUGAGGAAGACCCGAAUCCGGUCGAUCUACGCCUGAGUAAGUUGAAGCUAUGCGAAAGCAUGGUGGAGGACUGAACCGGUACUGAUGUGCAAAUCGUUCGGAUGACUUGGGUGUAGGGGUUAAAGGCUAAUCUAGGCCGGUAAUAGCGGGUUCCCCCCGAUACUACCCGCAGGUAGACCUCAGCAGAGAUGUUUGGCGAGGUAGAGCGACCGAAUAGUUGGUUAGCGAUCGAAAGGUCGCGCCGACUUAUCGAACUCCGAACUUGUCAAAAUCGUAGAAGCUGGGUGCUAGAGUUCAGGGAUAAGCUCUGAACUCGUGAAGGGAACAUCCUAGACGAGGGUUAAGGUCCCUAAAACUAACUAAGUGCGAAUUAAAAAGGUUUGAGGCCAAAGACAGUGUGGAGGUUGGCUUAGAAGCAGCCAUCCUUUAAAGAGUGCGUAACAGCUCACUCACCGAGGCGUCAUGUCUUGAAGAUGGACGGGGCUAAAGUUAGUUACCGAGACCUUCGAGCACCGAAAGGUGAUCUGGUAGGGGGCGUGCCAUAUGGACAGAAGUUUCUUCGAGAGGAGGGAUGGACCGUAUGGUAUCGUGGAUCCUGGUAAAAGUAGCAGAAAAGAAUCGUGAGAAUCGAUUCCGCCGAAAGGGCAAGGGUUCCUUGGCAAUGUUCGUCAGCCGAGGGUUAGUCGAUCCUAAGGUCA
This 704-nucleotide ribosomal RNA is filed under the name mine drainage metagenome. Its description in RNAcentral is "bacterial LSU rRNA". It matches the Rfam family "Archaeal large subunit ribosomal RNA", at positions 774 to 1486 of the family's 2987-position model. The record is from RNAcentral.